Ciborinia camelliae is the source of this 108-nucleotide non-coding RNA. The record is from the annotation of a GenBank genome assembly. NCBI's taxonomy places the organism in Eukaryota, Fungi, Ascomycota, Leotiomycetes, Helotiales, Sclerotiniaceae.
GCGUUUGUGGUUUAGUGGUAAAAUCCAUCGUUGCCAACAGCUUCAUAUCUUCACAGAUAAGAGCGUUACAACCUCGAUGGGCCCCGGGUUCGAUUCCCGGCGAACGCA